Molecule: long non-coding RNA, 1781 nt
Filed under: Canis lupus familiaris (dog)
Lineage: Eukaryota; Metazoa; Chordata; Mammalia; Carnivora; Canidae
Description: lncRNA (ENSCAFG00845028866.1)
Source: RNAcentral
UGGCUGAGCCCCGGGAGAGUCGGCUGGGGUUUCUCCUUAAGAAGUCGCACCGGUUUGUCGAGCUCUGCUCGGCGCCUUGGACAGCCACGGCAGCGGGAGCGGGCGCUGCCGCCACCCGGCCGGGUGAGUCACUGUUUGGAAAUGGAGUGGGCGGGCGAGGGUGUGAGAGAAUGAAUGAUGUCAGGAGCGCGCAGGGCGGCGGGCGGGGAGAGCGGGCUGCCGGGCCGCGGUAAACACCGAGCGCCGCGCCGCGCCGCGGGCCGAGCGGGCGGGGAGACCCCGCCCUCGGCGCGCACGGAGCCGUCCUCGGCCGCCGAGCCCGGCCGUGCUGCAGCGCCGCGGGCAGCGGCCUCGGGGGCGGCGGCCGCGGGAGGCAGCGGGAGGCAGCGGGAGAGCGGGAGAGCGGGGCCGCGGCGCGCACGGACAGACCCCCGAGCAAACUUUCUAGCGGCUUCGGUGCGGGGGGCGGGGGGUGGCUGCGGCGGCGGGCUCCGUCCCCCGGCCGAGUCCGCGCCUGGGAGCCGGUGCCUCCGGGCUGGCAGCGGCGGGAGCCCCAGCUGGGAGCGAGCUGUCAUCCUCUGCCCCAUCUGACUUCACAGAAAAGAUCUGCUUCAAGACGGGGUGUCAACUGCUACGAGAACCAAGGUGGGGUUCGGCAAGCUGCCAUCUGCAAACAGUAGGUUCACUGCUUCCUGGUGCUAGGUCAUAAGCAUGAUUUGCAUCAGCUAACUGGUUACCUACCAGUUGUCCUGCAACUUCUCUGCUAUCUUCCCUUUCCAGUUAAGACAUUCAAUUAAUCUUUUAACUGAGAAUUUCCUUAGGUGAGUCUUAGAUUUCAUGUUGAUCCAGGUGAGUGGAUGUUUCCUCACUCAUUGGAUUGUUGCCUUAAAUGACUAAGAACUAGAAGUGAUACCAAAACCUCCUAACCUCUUCACAUUACUGCCAAAAGGCAGUCCUGGGAACUGCCUCACCCAGGCAUUAAGAAAAGUUGGUGGCACUACAAAUCUUCAAAGAAACAUCUGUCCGCUAUGCACCUCUUUGGCCACAUUACUGAAAUGGUUACUAGCAAAGUUAUUUGGUUUUUAGUUAUUUAAACCAAGGUUAAAAGGUUGUGGUAGUUAAACCCAUUCCAUGCCCACUGAGGAGGAAGUUUUCUCUUUUAGGAUUGAUAUUGUGCAAUUCAUUUCACUGCCUAGACUAGUUUGAAUUUAAUUUGAAGGAUAAUUUUAUUCUUAAAUAAAAAGAGAUGUUACUUUUUUUUUAAGAUUUAUUCAUUUAUUUUGGAAGGUGAGGGAGUAACAGAGGGAAAGAGAAACUUAAGCAGACUCUGUGCUGAGUGUGGAGCUCCAUACGGAACUCUGUCUCAUGAUUCUGAGAUCAUGACCUGAGCCAAAACCAAGGGUCUGAGGCUUAACCAACCUCACCACCCAGGCACCCCAGCAGUUACAUUUUUAAUGUAAAAUAUUUUUUCUUCUAUACAGCUUAUGGGCACCUUAUGAAAGUGUGGUGUUUGCCUAAAAAGACUUCAGCCCUAAGAUGGACUCCAGGGUCUUGUAAUCCCAAGUUAAUUAAAAAUGAUUUUUUAUGAAUAUUUAAGAGUCAUUGUUCAGCACAACAUUCUAUAGACUUGUUUGUCUUCUAUAAAAUUCAAAAUAAUUCUAGGAAUGUUGCUAGGAUUAAAAUGCCUAUAUAGAGCCGAUACUAGGAAUGACAACAAUUUCUGAAUAUUUGACCCCCAUGAUAUCUCCCUCUUUGUCUGGUAGUGUCUGUUCCAUUGAAAC